AUUCAGAUGAAGUCCUAAAUAAGACGAAAUGUACAUCCUGGAU
RNAcentral lists this non-coding RNA (43 nucleotides) under Schistosoma haematobium. Lineage: Eukaryota; Metazoa; Platyhelminthes; Trematoda; Strigeidida; Schistosomatidae. The record is from RNAcentral.